Non-coding RNA from Oncorhynchus mykiss (rainbow trout), 1221 nucleotides. Lineage: Eukaryota; Metazoa; Chordata; Actinopteri; Salmoniformes; Salmonidae. The record is from RefSeq and is a predicted model, not a curated record.
CUGAAUAACGGGGCGUGGCUUUGGCCUAACUGCGUUGGCAAAAAGAAAGACGCGGUAUUGCCUGGGGUAAACAUUUGGGCGUCUACAUGCUCAUCCCUUGAACUGAACAAUGCUAGCAAAAACAACCAGACACUACUGCACCUCAAAUAAUUUUCCAAGUUGGAAUAAUGUAAAGAGUCGUUUGGUGGGUUCGAAGAGUGGAACGUAAACUAUAAUGAAAGUUUAGACCAGACAGAGUCAGCAUACAGGAGCUCUACAAGACAUUACUUUAUUCAUGACAGGCAAGAUAGCCACCAUCUCCCAUACUGCUACAGUAGCUGUCAGGAAGGCUAAGUACUGGACUGUCCACUUGUCUGAAACGUCAUUACCAAUUAAUACUUUUUACCCAGACUUUUACACUCAUUUACUUUGGCUGUGUGGACGUAGUGGGAAUGGGGCUUCUCCCGCCACUCAAAACGGGCCCGAGCCUUGGUUUCUACAAGAUAGAUGCGACUAAAUACACUACAACAAUUCUAAGUGCAUGGUUGCAUGGGGUUGCACUGGCGUGGGAUUAUUCUGCUCUCUGGCCGCCUGGAUGCCCUAAUGGAUGGAGCUGCCUACAUGUGUGCUGCAUGGGAUAACUUUGCUACUAGCUACUGUUUGUGUGUGUGACUUUUUGUGUCACUAUGAAAAUGGAACCAAAAGAGAUCUCGGGAUGGUGGGCCUGCUGUGUGUAUGCAGAAUAAAAUAAUUGACAUAGGGUUCUGCUGUGACUUCAACAAUGCUGACACUGAGAGGUUUACCCUUAAGGACAGAAGAAUGGACUUCAUUUAAUAGAAGGCUUCUUCUUCUUUGGACUUUAUAUGACGGUUGGAAACCAACUUUAAGGUGCAUUACCACUACCAACUGGACUGGAGUGUGGACCUCAGCUCAUCUUUCAAUCACCCACGUGGGUAUAUGCUCCUAAAAAACAAUGAGGACAUGGCAUGGACAUGGAUAUGCUCCUAAAACCCAAUGAGAAGAUGAGAGAGGCGGGACUUGCAGCGCAUCAAGGAUCACAAAUAUAAGUUUUAUUUUAGCACCUGGCUACGCAGACGGUUGUUGAAGCGCGCAAACUGUGUUGGUGCAAUGAUUGAAUAACAUGUAUGUAUCCAUUUAUUUUGUGACGCGAGCGGUGUGGUCAGCAUGUAAUCGACGUAUAUCAUGUGUACAGUAUAUGACUAAUAAACAAACUUGAACUUG